AUGCUCAUCAGGAAGUUCUGGUGGGAAAGCAAAGAAGAAAAACGCAAGCCAAAUUGGGUCUCGUGGAAGGAAAUGACCCAACCGAAAAGCGGGAGGGGUUUCAAAGACUUUAAAUUGUUCAAUCUUGCUUUGUUAGCUAGACAAGCAUGGCACAUAUUACAUAGUCCAGACUCACUUUCAGCACGAAUUUUAAAGGGGGUCUACUUCCCAACAACACCCUUCCUAGAUGCAACAGUGGGUAGCCACCCAAGCCAAGUCUGGAGAGCUAUUAUGGAGGGAAGAGAACUGAUGAAACAAGGACUUAUAAAAAGUAUUGGUAAUGGUACUUCCACCAAUAUAUGGACGGAGAGUUGGAUCCCACAUAAUGAGAUGAUGAGGCCUUAUGGAUGUAAAUGUGAUAACCCUCCAACACAUGUGUCACAGCUCAUUGACCAGACUACGGCAACAUGGGUUAUAUCGUUGCUGGAGCAAACCUUCCUGCCAAUAGACAUACUCUCCCCGUUUCAAAAUAGAUGA
This 516-nucleotide ribosomal RNA is filed under the name Triticum aestivum (bread wheat). RNAcentral describes it as "partial small subunit ribosomal RNA". Lineage: Eukaryota; Viridiplantae; Streptophyta; Magnoliopsida; Poales; Poaceae. The record is from RNAcentral.